Molecule: ribosomal RNA, 241 nt
Filed under: uncultured bacterium
Lineage: Bacteria
Description: partial 16S ribosomal RNA
Rfam family: Bacterial small subunit ribosomal RNA
Source: RNAcentral
UACGAAGGGGGCUAGCGUUGCUCGGAAUUACUGGGCGUAAAGGCGCGUAGGCGGUUCGGUAAGUCAGGUGUGAAAUCUCCACGCUCAACGUGGAGGCGCCACCUGAAACUGCCGUGACUAGAGUCCGGUAGGGAGUGUGGAAUUCCCGGUGUAGCGUGAAAUGCGCAGAUAUCGGAGGACACCAGUGCGAAGCGGCACUCUGGCCGAACUGACGCUGAGAGCGAAGCGUGGGAGCGAACAG